Molecule: small RNA, 780 nt
Filed under: Pan troglodytes (chimpanzee)
Lineage: Eukaryota; Metazoa; Chordata; Mammalia; Primates; Hominidae
Description: processed transcript
Source: RNAcentral
AGCGCGGGGCGGUACCGUGGGAGGGGCCGCGCGUGGGGCAGCGGGUAGCGAGUCCCUCCGUCCCCGCGAGUCGGCGCUUUUGGCCCCGCGGGAGGGGCCGGGCUCGGUGAGCGACUGGCGGGGGCUCGGGUCCGAGUCCAGGGGGCGACGUGGGCCGCGGACACCGCCAGCCACGGGCCCUGCGUCCCUCCAGGGAGCCGUGUUUCGGUUCAUGAGGCCUCGGGCUGUGAGCUUAGAUGAGAAAAGCAUCAUUCAAGCUCAGAUUCGUGUUGAAGCCUGCCACAAGGUCCACCUGUUGUUGUGGGUUUGUGGGUGACCAGGGGUUACCCCCAGCAGUGUGUGAGAAUGAAGAGUGUGGGCCACUGUGUCUCUGUUGACCUGCCAGAUAGGAAAUAGCGCCAGAGUUGCUGCAAUCCACGUCUCCCUGGAAUUCAGGAGCAGCUUGGCUGGAAGGCUCUGGCUGGAAGCUUGCAGAAGGCUGUCAGCUGGGUCUGCAUCAUCUGAAGGCUCAACGGGUACCGGGGGCCACUCCAUGGCCUGCGAGUCAGAGCUGGCCGUCGGUGGGAGGCCUCAGUUCCUCUCCACAUAGGCCUCUCCACAGGGCCACUUGAGCAUCUUCCCACCAUGGCAACUGGUGUCCUCUAGAGCAACAUCCAGGAGACCAAGGCGGAAGCAGCUGUAGUGCCUUCUAGGACCUGGUCCUGAAAGUCACCCCUGCACCCACCCCCGCUGUCUCCUCAGCCAUAUUCUGCUGGUCACACAGAGCGCUGCAGGAUAAAG